Molecule: long non-coding RNA, 300 nt
Organism: Dufourea novaeangliae
Lineage: Eukaryota; Metazoa; Arthropoda; Insecta; Hymenoptera; Halictidae
Exons: 3
Source: RefSeq, a predicted model, not a curated record
AAUACGACACAAGGAAUCAUGAAUCAGAAACUUCAUUGUCUUCUUCUAUUUGUCACAAUUAUUUUGUUGUCAGGAUGUUUCGUAGCACCGGUAUUUGGUGUGUCAGGACCGUGCAAACAAUUACCUAGGAAGGUGCUUUGUGGCAGUGAUAAAUACAAAAUAAUGUGCAAGCUCAAGUGUUAAUAGAAGAAUGAGACGGAAACUCCUAGUGAACGAUGCAGCCAUCACGAAAAUGAAGAUUUUAACUUUAGAUAUUAACUGUUGUUCAAAAACAAUGGAAUAUGAGUAAAAUAAAAAACA